Molecule: ribosomal RNA, 198 nt
Filed under: uncultured soil bacterium
Lineage: Bacteria
Description: partial 16S ribosomal RNA
Rfam family: Bacterial small subunit ribosomal RNA
Source: RNAcentral
AUACGGGAGGCAGCAGUGGGGAAUUGUUCGCAAUGGGCGCAAGCCUGACGACGCAACGCCGCGUGGAGGAUGAAGAUCUUCGGGUCGUAAACUCCUGUCGACCGGGACGAAAUCUCCGCGAGCUAACAUCUCGCGGAAUUGACGGUACCGGUGGAGGAAGCCCCGGCUAACUCCGUGCCAGCAGCCGCGGUAAUAAUC